RNAcentral lists this long non-coding RNA (265 nucleotides) under Lathyrus oleraceus (garden pea). Its description in RNAcentral is "Pisum sativum (pea) long non-coding RNA (PSAT_LNC023447)". The record is from RNAcentral. Lineage: Eukaryota; Viridiplantae; Streptophyta; Magnoliopsida; Fabales; Fabaceae.
UUCUAGAUGUUUUUAUUGAAUUAUAUUGAUGUUUUUAUUGAGGUAUGUUGAUAAUAUUGUUGUUGAUGUAUGUUUAUUAAUAUAUUUUUGUGUGUUAUUGUAUGAUGUAUUGAAUAGGUAUGUUAUUGUUUAUGUUAUUGUUAACGUUAUUACUUGUAUAUUGCAGUUUUCAUUUUGUUCAGUCAACAUGUUCUAGAAGAUUAGUUUAUUAUCUCAUAUAUGGUUUGAGUGUUUUACCAACAUCAAAUUAAAUAUAUAACAUUUC